Molecule: long non-coding RNA, 1365 nt
Organism: Lutra lutra (Eurasian river otter)
Lineage: Eukaryota; Metazoa; Chordata; Mammalia; Carnivora; Mustelidae
Exons: 4
Source: RefSeq, a predicted model, not a curated record
AUGUGCUCUUAAAUUGGACAUGAUGGAGUGCCAAAAGUACAAGAGCUGAGCCACCUGAGCAGUCUGCGCUGUGACCUUUCUCCAUCCCUGCCAGGAGGGGCAGCCCCAGGACUGCAGCAACUGUACUAGACCUCUUUCAUCCUCUGACAGGGACCUGAGAGGUCGCAUCCCUGUGCCACUCCUCCUACCCUGGGGCUUGUGGUGGCCGUUCGCAGGAAGCUGGUGUGGACUAGAAAGAAGCAGUGGGACUCUCUCUGGGCACAUGCAGAGUCUGUGAAAAUGAAUUCAAACAGACAGAAUGAGUGAGAUCUCCGAGAAAGCCUGAAUCUGCACUGAAAGAGCAAAUUGCACAAAGGGAGUUUCUGCAAAGAAAACACUUCUCAGCUCCCUCUCGUUCAUUACUGGAACUGUCAUCUUGUCCUGAAACCUCCAACCUCAGAACCUGAGAAGAUGGUUCCCUGCCUCCUGCAACCUCCAGGAGCACAGAGAUGUCUUUAUUCACUUUGAAAUUAGAAUUGCUGAUUCCCGAGAUUCAGUGAAAGCUUCAACCAGGGGGUCUCCCAAAUAAUGACGCAGAUUCCCACAGCUUCCCGGGAUGCAGCCAGGCUUGACAAAUGGAACUUGGUUUGUCAUAAGUCAACUAUUAUAGUCAGAGGAGUUCCGUAGGCAUGCCCUGGCUGACCACAAAUGGCGGAGACCACAUGAAUACAUGGUAUUCUGACCAGAUGCAGAAUGAAUGCUCCAAGUUUGGUGGGGAAGGAUCAAAAGGAUUCCAAAUGCUUGGUGCUGGGCCAGGAUUGCAGGAGUGCCCAACCUCAGCACCAGGUUGUUGCUCUGAAGCUCUGACCUGCACUAGCAUGUGGCCGGAGCCCUUCAUGGGGUGAGGAAAGCUGGUCCCGAUGAUGCUGUGAUUGACCAGCCUCUUACUCAGUGCCUUCCCAUUAGUGUCAGCUUCCUCUUCUCUGCAUAACAGUUAGCACCUACUGAGAACAUCUAAGUUCCCGCUGUUGCGCUAGGGGAGUCACCUGCCUCCUUUCAUUUAAGUACCCCAAUACCGUACCAGGUAAGUUUUAUCCUCUUCAUUUUCCUAAUACGGACAUUAUAGUCAGAAAACUUGAGUAACUCCAUUGAGGUUAGGUAACUCAAAAAGUGGUGACAUCAGCCUGGGACCCAUAGUCUCUGUGACUCCACAGCCUGUAAGCAUUUUAGUUCAUCUUAUUCGUUCUGGAUAAGUCUCUGUCUUGAUAGUUCAACUGUGUUUGAAAUGUCAUCAUCCUAAGGCUAUUGACUUAUCAGUGAAACAACAGCUGCAAGUGCAAUUUGACGCUUAGCUCUGCAGAGCCAGAGUAACGUACUAGGCUUAUA